Molecule: long non-coding RNA, 14552 nt
Organism: Ooceraea biroi (clonal raider ant)
Lineage: Eukaryota; Metazoa; Arthropoda; Insecta; Hymenoptera; Formicidae
Source: RefSeq, a predicted model, not a curated record
UUUCUAUCGAGCAGCAUCCGACAACGGUCUUUCGCCUCUCGAGGAAAGAAGCCUUUGUCGAACGGCCGGCACAAAGAAGUCGGCCUGCCCUCCCGCGCUCUUUUCUCCAUCGGGCGGAGUGCUACUUACAGAAAUCACGGUGCAGCGUGCUACUUACGUCAUAUAAAUGGAGAGAACGAGCGAUACAAGAAGCGCACGGUGGAAGGAGGCAACCCGUUGGAAGCUUUUCGCGGUAAUGCCGGGAGUACGCCUGCUUGUCAUCGGAAGAGCUUUCCUUGUUCUUGGUGCGCGUUGUGGACAAUGGCGAGAAAACACUCUCGUGCUAACCAUCCACCCCCAUUUCUCUCUCUAUCUCUCUGUUUCUCUCUCUCUCGUUUCUUCUCACAACUUGUGCAUCGUCUCGCAGGUAUUCUACGCUCGCGCGCGUUGCUCUUCAUGACGCUGCGAGUAGCACGACGAGAGCGAGGAGACAAAGUCUCCUCAGUGUUUUCCCUCCGCCUUUCUUCCUGAAUCACGCGUAUCGCUCUGGUUCUUCGUUACCUGAGGGUAUGCAGUCGGAGCUCGAGACGCGCAGCUUCUCACCCCGCUCGCGCGUUUGCCGUGGAUUAAGCGCAGGAGUUGGAGAACGCCUUCAGGAAUUCAAGAAAGCGGACGCCGCUGAAUGCGUCGAGGAGGUAUGUGCCUUCUGCCGUCUCUUUCUGUUCCUUUCUCGAAGGGCCGCAGCCCGACGAAAAAGGAAACGGCUGAGAGGACGCGAAGGAAAACGUAAUGCGCUCGAGGAUUGUCUCUGUCUCUCUUCCCCUCUUUCUCUCUUUUUUUCUCUCCGCGUGACGACAUCUAUAAAGCUACGCGGUCCCUAGAAGCUUUAGCUAGCGCGAGUUCGCGCUCGGGAGUUCUAAGAGCCAAGUAUCAAAAAGCGAGACAACACACGUGCGGCAGCAAAAUAAUUGCGCCGAUAAUAUCUCGCCGCGCAAACUGUUUGCAUUUGUGAAUAACGCGCGCGAAACAAUGUGUCUCCUCCGACAAUACCGUGACGUGUGCGGGCAACGCGUAGCGUUACGUUAAUUACCAGCCGAAAUGAGGUGGAUUUGAUAAAGAGCGCGGAAAACAAUCGGUGAUCGUUUCGCACUGGGGAUAUCUAACACGCUCGUGUGCUUCUUCUUGGUCUCGUAUCCACGUGACGGGUAGGUGUGUCACACCGACACACAAUGUCCCGUCAUAAAUGGCUAAACGACAAUAUAAUUUUCUGCGGUGCACAGAGUCCCCGAAGCGCGACAAAUAGUGACAGGAAGCGCGUGUCCACUGGACCAAGUAUCCUUGGUGGAAGCUUCCACUUUCACGGAGGAAAUGGCCUCUCGCUCCUUCCGUCCCCGAGAGGAAAGCGCGCCGGCCGAUGAACGGCGAUGAUACACCUAACGAUCCGCGCAACAAAAAGCUCGUUUAUUAGCGUAAUUUGACUUUUUUUCAUCAUGCUUCAUUAUAUCAUAUUUCUUCGCCGCACUGGAUAUAGCGACAGGUGAUCGACUUUAAAAUAACACACAUGCCUAUCGUGUUUCAAAAGUAUACAUUCCGAGUAUUCGACAGAAAAAAAACAAUGUAAUGUUUAUACUAUCCUCUGUGCCGACAUCGAAGCGACGAAAAGUGAUAUUGAAAAUCGAAGAGAACGCGGAGGAAAAUGUGCACGUAAAAAUGUUUCGAUACGGCUCCGACGUAUAACUGUUCCGCAAAAGUACAUGCGAUGAAGCACGGGCGUACUCGCACGAAAAAUUACGUAUUAUUCGUCGUAUCGUUAUCACUCCUUUACGAUAGAUUAAUCCUAGAACGCUGGAAAGUACCUACACGUAUAAAACCGACGCAUCGUUGACGUCUCUCUUUAAUCGAACGUUGUUGUUGUAAAACAUUUUAAUAAAUAAUGCAUUUCUUGGAGUGUCCAUAAAAUCGACAAAUCUCUAUAAAAAAAAACGUGCAACUAAUAAAAGUGACCAUUUCUCAUUCCAUAUUUAUUCGUGUCGGGUCAUUGCACGAUACUCGAAAGAUCGCCGGAUGAGGGCUUGCGAAACGUAACCGGAAGCACGCGCGUGUGCUGGACCAGCCAGUCUCGCCUGGAAGCCCUCAAUUUUCCAGAGGAAGCGGGGGGUUCUCCUUCCGUUCUCUUGACGGAAGAUAGGAGGAGAAAGAGGAGGAGAAACGGGAAAGAGAGGCGACGAGAGAUCCGAUCGGCGACUGGUAAAAGGACUACGCACCAUAGUGGGAGGAAUCAAGGGACAAGGGAGAGAUGCGAGGGGAGAAAGAGCGCGUGCGAGGGAGGAGAGUGCGUGAGAGGAGUGCCGCGCUAAGGGGAACGGUGGAGCGAUACCUGUGCGACUGUCUGUCGUCCGGAUGUCCGUUGUUUUGUUACAAUCACGUAUCUGUGCGUUUUACGCGGGUACGGUAUAUCGGCAUGUCGGCGCUCACGGACCAACACCACCAGCCGAUCCAGGAUGUAAGCCUCGUAACUGGGGGGUUGGGCUCGAGUGGACGCCGUAGCGCGGCGCCGAAAGGUGCGGACGCGUGUUCCGGCCUUGGCGGCCGUGUAUCAUUGUACCCGCAACGGAAAUGAUGUCUUAAUUGAUCCGCCGCUCUUCUGCCCGCCUGGGAGACGAGGCCUGGCCGACGAGCUAGGCGAGGCCGCGAUGUCCGCGAGCUUCCUAUUAUACCGCGCUGGAUCAUGUAACAAGCGAUGCAUGAGAGCAGGCUAAAUGAUCUCAAGUGUCAUUCACAGUUUUGCGUCGCGAUCUGAAGACGAGGAAGUUCGCGGCAGAUCUCUUUAAUUUUCCACGUAAGCCUCUCACUUUCCACCCAGCUUUACGGCCUCGGGUAGCGUUGCCGAAUAUUUUUAUGGCUAAACGGAAGAACAAACACCAAUAAGAGGGGCGAGUGUAUCGACACCCGGUGCAUCUCGUCGUCGUCGGCCGUAAACUAGCCAGGGCGAACUUGGAGCAGUAAAGAGGAGUCGUAAUACACGCGGGGCGACAUAACGAGUCGCUCGACUACAUAACAAAGUAUUAUAAAAGCAUUUUAUUGUUCGCGGGAAAACGAGCCGAGGCAUCGCUCGCGCGAGACCGGAAUUUCGCCAGGCGUUGCGCGUUUAUGCGUUUCUUUCCAACGUGACAGCCGCGGUUUCCUCGACAAGAAAGUACCUCGGCCACGCUGUCGGACGCGUAACGUUUUAUUCGAUCCUCUCGAGCACCCGCCAAGUUUUAACACUCCGCGAACGCAAUGUACUUUCGCAUCGACGUCUCUACAAAACGCGGAAGCAUUCCGAACAGUUUAGCUCAAUUUGCGAGCUCGGUUUUUCUCGGUUACUCUGCAUUAAACAAUGUAAACGACGCCACGAUAAACGAUUUUUUUUCUUAAAUUCUAUGAAUCUGCAAUCGAUUACAACUGCGAUCAAUUGCAGUUGCAUCAUGAUACAUAUGUCCGUACAUGUACGGUUCUGAUGUGCAGAAGACUCGGCACUUGGUGCAGUUCUCCAUACGCAUAUAGAUACUCCCUAAAGGGUAAAAGGAGUCGUAUCCGCCACGGAAACGCACAAUGGGCCCGUACGCACACGUUUACGCGCCGUCGUGCCCGCGCAAUUACUCCCCCGCACACGGAGCUGUAUCGCACACGUGUGUUUGUAGGCACUCGACAAGCGCGCGCGGCUCGUGCGUGAGCAUGUGCGUAUCCGCGCGUUGCACGCGAGGCGUCUUUCUCUCGUCACGAAUCCGCAACAAGUUUGUCACGCUAUUUAUCUUUAUUUAUCAGGUGUUUUAUUUGUCAAGAUUCGUCGGAAAUAUCGUAUACAUUAAUUACACUUCCCACUUUAUUCAAAUGAUUUUUAAAACGGUACAUAAUUUGUAACAAAGUUUCACGUCUAAUUCUUCAAGACGUCCGAAUACGCGAGAAGCUUCAGGCAAGCCGCAAAAGGAUUCUUUCUCGCCAGACUGACCUGCGAGCGGCACCAAGAAGAGGUCGCCUCUUGGAGAGGCAAGUGGUCGCCGGCGAGUAAAGAAAGGAAAGCCAAAGGAGAAAAGAAUCCUACAAGUAGAUUCUCCUUCGAGAAAGAGAAAGAGAGAAUAAGAGUGAGACGGAGUACGCGCUCUGUAGAACGGGAGAGCGAAUCGGGGAGAUGAAAAGGGAAGGAGGGAUUACGGUCGUGAGUUUGUCGAGGGACGAUGGCCAGGGACGAAGAGGGGUAACUCAAGACGGGUCUAAGUGAGUCUUCCGGCCGGCAGGCAAUGAUAGCCCUGAGAACUGACCCGACCCCCGGAUAUGUGUUGCGCAUAUAUGUGGGGACACAGACACGAGAGUGUGUCCGAUGUGUCAUAACAUCGCGCGUCUCCGUUCGGCCGGCCGGGAUCUCUGAUGAUGGCUUAUUUCAUAAAUCGGAGAUCCGCGACGAGCUAGACAUGAUCAUGCGCUCGCUUCAUCAGUUACGCAGACUCUGUGCGACGAUGUCAAUUUGCUUUGCACUGCUGCAAGUCUGCUUCUCAGCUUCUUGUCGGAACGAAUAAAAGUGUUUUUCACAUACAUGGAUUUGAUAUAAUUGAUUGUUACAUAAUUGCUCUCAAGUUCGUUCAAACGUUUGUUGCUCGUUGUUGAUCGGUCAACUCGAAUUAGCUGAAAGAUUCCGGGAAAAACGUCGGAUGCACCGUAUGCGCAGAAACUACGCAAGAUCCGCGAAAUCAUGACAAAGGAUGACAUAAUAGGCCGACGCCUACUCCUGGCCUUGCCGCUGUCAGAUAAUUGCCUUAGCGUGCGAGCGGUCCGCGUAAGAGAACGUACUCACGCAAAUCACGUUGCACACGCGCGCGCACAACACUUGUUAUACAAUUCUGUGAAAUGGACUCAACAAUUUACAUGAUGUGCAUUUCAACCUGAAUUAUUGGAGAUAAAGAUAGAUAGAUAGAGGAGAGAGAGAGAGAGAGAGAAAUUAAUAAAGUCUUUUCGUUUGCAGAAAAGAUGCCACAUCAUUAUCGUUUAACGAUCAUUAAUUUAUCGCAUCUUACGUGCGAUUUAAAUCCUAAUGAGUGCCACGCGGGAAGUUUCUGCUCUUAAUGACGUCAAAGAGAGGAUAAGAGAGAUAGAGAGACAGAGAGACGUGGCGUAGCUCGUACAACGAUCGAUGCGUUUCGAGCGCGACUAAAACACUCAUUUGUCUUCGUAACCACUUUGCUUGUCAAAUCAGCCACCCUAUUAUCGCGCGGGUGUCAUUAGACGCCUGAGAUUUAAACGACCGUUUUGAGCUAAUAUCCUGACGACACAGACAAGUUUCGAAAGAUGGUUAAGUGCCUCGCGAAUAAUACUGCCACUACGUCACUUCUUGAAAGGAUGAUAGCAAGGAUGAAACUUGCACGCGCGUUAUUAACAAGACGUCGCGUCCACCGUAAUUACGCUAAACUGCCGUGUAUGACUUUGCGUGCGCUUCUAUAGCCUUAAAUGCAAAGAUAAUGUCACCGUGUAUACGCAAUUACGUAUUGAUCGCAGUUACCUCCAGUACGGCUAAAAGAAAUAUAAAUGCUGCUUGAUUAUGCAUCUCUUGCGUUACCCGCAUCGAAACGAUUUUUCAAAAAAAAAAGAAAAAGAGAAAGAAAACGAACCACAUCGGAAAAACGCAGUUUAUAUUUUACUCGACAUUGAACGGAAUAAUUACUUAAUACGCCUUCGUCAAUAAUUCAAUGAUCACGUCACGCUUGACCGUGCGAGUCGCACCGACUCCGGAAAAGGGGAUUCACGACGGCUGCGGCCGGAGGGAAUGCCUGCGGAAAGAGGCGGUUGCGACACGCUUCCGUGUCCAACAUCGCGUCUCUUAUUUGCCAAUUCGGAAGUAAUGUAAAUAAUCGCGCCAUCACGAACGCAAUCGCGGCACGAAUGGCCGGACCUGGUCUCUUUUUCAGGAGACGAGGUCCACUGACCACGUGAGACCGCGCGAGAAAGUUUAGACGCGGUCGCGCGCCGUCCGCUCGUAACGCAUGCCAGGUCAAUACUUGCACGCUCCUCGCGACCGUCCAGGUGUAUCGCCUUCCGCAGCAUUGUCAACAAGUUCCGGAUCUGAGAUACCCGCCUAUCUAUCUCGGCAUUUUUAUUCGGCCUCCGCUGACCGGUCGCAAUCAAUCCUUCCCGCUUUUCAUCGCGCGCGCUCGCGCGCGGACGCCCGGGUGACUCAUUCCAUUUCUUAAUGAGGUCUAUUGCCUCUCCCUCUCUAAGCUGCCAGCUUCAUCCGUUUCGUCGUGACCGCUCUAUUUCCUCGCGUUUCUUUUUGAAGACCCGGUUGACCCGGCGCGGAAGCGACGUUUCACACUCGCGGAUUCCAUGCACAACGCGUCCAAGGCAUUUCUGUUGCGCGCGUGUCACGAUGUGAGUCGUGGAGAUCAAUUACCCAUGUGAGCGGAAAUGCAAAAGAAUUUUUGCGUCCCGUCGUUGCCUCAUACGUUCUUCGCUCGAAUGUCAUCAAGCGCGUAUCUCGCAAAGACAAUGGAGGAGGCAACGUUGAAGGUUCCGGGUUGCAAAUGCCGCUGCGCGCGGUACCAAUAGAUUCGAAACGAUGCGCGUCCAUCUCUGCAACGGGUUGCCCUUGUGGCGGAAUAUCGUUCACGUCCCUUCACGUCCCAUUACGAGGCCUCGAUGUAACCAUGUAAACCCUGUUUAAUUAACGCGUGGACUGAAAGAGGAGGAAUUUCCGAUAUAUCUCCGACGCGUCGCGUCGCGUCGGUGCAUAGGGCAUCACGAUGAUGAUGAUCGUAUGUUCGUGAUAGAGAUGGUCGAGACGAUGGCGUACGUAGAGGUCUAUCUGUAGGGGCUGCAGUAGGCAGAGGCGAAACGUCGGUAGUGAUCGUGGCGGCGACGAUGGUGGUGGUUGGAGUACUUGAGAGAGCUCGCCGUUUCCCUUAUUCCUUCAAUCAACGUCAGCUGGGGAGGCGAGUCUAGUAUGUACCCUGAGCAAAUACUCGCAUGCCCCGCACUAGAGCAGCAUAGAGCUCAAUGACUACAUCAUCGUCGAGAUGGUAGUUAGACUAGACGCAUCUUUGCCUUCUCUCUCUCUCUCACUCUUUCUUCCCCUCUUUAGCUUUUUCUUCUUCUCCCCCCCCUCUCUCUCUCUCUCUCAACGCACAAUCAUCAUCAUCGAUCUUUUUCGCGAUGACAUAAAUGACUGCUAAACGACUGCUAAACUCAGCGCGAUUGAAUGCAUGAAAUCAUGAAGAUUCCGUGAGAGAAACACAGAAUAAAAAGGAGAUUCCUGAAUAAAUUCGGAACGUAUCCGAUCGAUACCUCGAUGAUCACCAACAAAAAUAACGCUAUCAAAAUGGAGAGGAAAUUCAGUUAAGAAACAUUUGAAAUAAACUGCCUCGCUCGCAAUCCUUCGUAUUUGCAAACGGGAUUCAGAGAUAUUAUGAAGAAGCAUUGUUCUAUAAGAAAAUAGCGUUAUUUUCUUAACAAUAUUUAUAGAAACGAUACUUGAAAUGGCGAUGGCCAAGCUCCAAUAUCGAAGAGAUCAUAAUAACAAAAUCGAUUGUCAUAUCAGAUUAGAGUAAUAGAAAAUCAAUAUCGAGUAAUCAUAAAAACUGGAAUAACAGAAGAUUAAUUCGAGCAACAUAAUCAUUAAUUCAUCCGCUCAUCUUAACGUAUCGAAGACGAGCGGGUACGAAAGAAUCUCGUUAAAAUAGGAAGGAAGGGAGCCGGAUACGUGCUUAUAUACGUGUACAUACGAGUGCAUCACGGGACAUCUAAAUAAGCUGUUUAGACGACUUCAAGUUAACCCAAAUUGACUCAAUUGGAUUAACCGAGCCACGGUUCACCCGACACUUGGGAACCGGCCCGUACCGGCGUCAUCGCGUAUCCGCGAGAGAGCCAGUCUUUUGCUUCUCAUGCAAAUAAUGCGUCGCGCGUUAUUUCCAGCUCUUUAACCCUCGUCGUCCCCGCGUUCUCCGACCGAGAGAUCCCUUUUCUCACACGGCCCUCUCCCUCCUUCGCCUCGCGUUCGCGAAUUCAGCUGGUUAGCUGAAUUGACGGCGUUUGGGAAAAUUGCCUCGUAUCCUCAUCAGGUCGCAGCGUCACCCGGGCUCGCUCGGUAGGAGGCCCUCCUCUCCUCUCGCGAAAGAGCGAGCGUAAUGCGCGCGUACACGACGAUGAGACACGCGCACGAGCAAUCAUGCCGAGUAUCCUUCGAACACGGUACAUGAUGAGUGCACACCACCUUCCCCGCCGCUGAUCGUCGUGGAUCAGCAAGAGUCUUCCGCUCCUCGAGCCCAGUAUACGCGUGACCCGCUGACGUACGUCACCCCUCCGUGUCCUGUCUCUCAUAUCAAUUUAUGGCGGGGGCCGCGGAAGGAAGAGACGACUGAUAGGAACGAGCGAUAGCGGAGGAGAGCUCGUCACGGCUUACGUAUGAAUGUAGAAUCGGAAGGGAUGUUGGGGAUUGGAGUGUCCGCUUCUUGGCGAUCCCCGUCCCCUCGGUCCCCUCGAGUCGAUGUUGCGUUGGUGUUGCUCCUCCAUCAGCGGCGACGUGCCCCUUUUUUCCUUCGUCUCCCUCUCUCCCUGCCUGCUUCGACGAGGCUCUCCAUCUUCGUCAUCGAUGCAUUUCAGCGCUCUUGCUCUGUCUUCCUCUCUGGGAUGCUCUCCGCGAUAUAUGGGAUCGUCGGAAGUCACCUUCCUCAUUAUCAUACCAACAGGCCACUCGCUCACUCGGACGCAGCCUUCAUCCUGUGCCCUAGUCACUUACGGCUCGCGGGUGACCAACCCAAGAGUAACCCGGUCCACGAGCAGUCGUUCGAAAGGGCUGACCGGGGAUCGUAUGAGUUAGCUCGAGAGCCACUGGCCUGGGGGACAAGACGCAAGUCCAUUAUACUCAAUCACGGCGUGAUUGGCUCAAACGAUCAGACCACCGCUUGCCGCGCGUCGCUCCGCGGAGAUUCGCGCGGACGUGCCACGUCGCAUCUGUCUACGCCAAGAAGGAGAGCUCCCGUUUUUCCAUCGGCACGAUUUUCGACGAUCCUGCUGAUCAAUUAUUCUCUCAUUAUUUUUUCGAUGGCAACUGUUGCAAGCAGAAAGCUUACGAGACAAUAUUCCUUCGCGAAUAAAUUAUUCGUUGCUUUAUAUGAAAAAUUCAGCGGUUUUGUCGAGAUGCAAAACCUUGCAAAGUGCGGGAAUUAUUCAAGAAGAAGGAUCUUGGAGAUCUCACGUGCUGGCCUUGUGUCCCUCAUUGAUCAGUAGCAACCAUCAGAUCUGUUACUCGCUGGGGCGAUACCCGAUCGAUAGCUAGCAGCUACCAGGUGUUUCCAGCUCUGAGGGCGACCAAAGAAAUGGCAGCUUCCAGACGCUUUCGUGGAGACAUCGCGUCGUUAUACGUCGCGCAAACACACGAACUUUGGCAAUUGAAUAUAAUUAUGUAAUCCCGACUAUUCGACGAUGCGCGCGGUAUGAUUGCCAUUGUCGGAAAAAGUGGAAAACACGUUGGCGAACUGCCAUAAGAAGACUGCGCCUCGAAAUAGCGACGACAAUAAUGCCGGUAAUCCUGGACGCUCUUGGCUGCCAAUAUGCCGCGAACGUAUCUCCAUAAUUGCCUCGAAGAGCAGCCUGCGGCCAAUAAAAGACGGACGGAAGAAAAAGACGAAAAUCUAUCGUUAAACCUGCUCCUUCUUCUCGUCGAUUGGUCUCUUCAGUCAUGUUACCUCCAAAAAUUCGAGCCUUGUGAAAUGAAGCUUUGUAAAAAAUUUUUUAUUUUUAUUCUUUACAUUUUUCAUGAUAUAUCUAUCUAUGUAACUGUAAAUUUACGCCUCGAGAGAUCGCUGUAGAAGCACGACGUCGAAAGCCAGCGGAAACCGUUACUGCUUCCCGGCACGAGCCAGCCGGUAAUAUAUUCGUGUGUUUCUUAAGACGUUAGAAAGCUGGGCUCCGUUCAGCCCCAAGACGUUAGGGGAACCUUAGUGGGGUACAACAAUGACAACAAGAAGCCGAAACGUCGGUUAGGCAUCGAGGCGGCAGCUGGCACGCGCUCUUUCCGUGUCGUAAGGAGGCAUUUUUACCUUCUUCGCCCUUCUUCUUCGUCUUUCCUUUUCGAUGGGGCGAGCUCCCAAGGGGAAACCGAGUCUCGAGAAGUUACCUCGAUCGGGCCUGCAGUCAGGAAAUACCUGGACAUUUAAAUCGGGGACGCCACCCGGCAAACCACCUGAAUGCUACCGAGGGGGCCUCCUUGAUCUUGCAGUGUCGUCGGCAACGGGGCCCCGCAUUUUCAAGAUUGUGUCAAGAUCAUUGAUUCUUUUAAUUUAGUUUUCAGUGAAUUUUUUCUUUUAACGAUAAAAUUUUACGUUACAGUAACUAUACAAUUCUUAUCUACUCACGUUCUUAAACUUUGUAAAUUUGAUACUUUGUAAAUUUGAUACUAAAAUUAUUAGGCAAUCACUUUACAAAAUCCGAAUCAGGUACGAGCAAUAUAACAUUAUAAACCGUACGCUUUAAUGAUGUCUAAAUUAAUGAAAUGCAGCUGAUAAUGCAGCUUUAACAAGCUUCAUUGAUUUUACUUUUACGCGAUGCUCGUAAAUAAAUAUAAAUACAAAAAUUGAAUUGGCCAGCGUAAUUGAUCCAAUAUCCGUUAAUUUUAAUAUUUAACGCUGUAAAUCAUUAAAUAAAACGACUAUUUUUCGGACUAUAUAAAUUCUCCAUUUUCCAUGUAGCGCAGCUUGGCUGCCACAACUGUCUACGCCAUUGAGGGCAAGGACCGUUGUUCCUACUUCCUUUUCCGAGGGAAGACCAAGGGCGUCGCAGGACUUUUUUGUAACUACCUUCAAUAUCAGACGUUAGCGUUUCCCACCACGAGAAGUCAUGGGAACGCAUUAGAGAAAACGGUCGCGCGAACGUCUCGGAGAUUCGUGUCUUGGAAAAUCCCAUCGAUCAUUGAUCCCGCGUGAAGGGAACGCCACCGUUGAAUCGACUUCACCCUUCUCUAGUUUCCCGAAGAAAAUCUUGCGAGCAUCUCUCGUAUCGCUGCGGAGCAACGCCGAACGAGAGCUACAUGGUCGCAACGUGCAAACCUGGGAAAAACGGCGGCGCUCAUUAUCGCGUACUAUCUGCAUCGGCAUGAAUGGGAACCGAAAUCGAAAUGAAAACGAGAGAAGGUCAUGCUCGCGUGUCAGGAAUAACACAAGCGUGGCGUUGACCCACAUUGUUUUUGAAACGCGAUUAAACUCAUUGAAAACGACCGAAGGUAGAUUAAUGGCGUCGGGGCGCGUAACCGCGAAAAGCGGGGCAAAAAGCGAAACAAAUUUAACGAGCUGUGAAUUAUGAAAAUCGGUGACAGGCCGCCGCUUUUAAAUGCUCUCUCGCGCUCUCUCCGGCUCGCGGCGAUCCGGCUCGACUAUCAUUCUCUCUCUGUCUCCCUCUCUCGCCCACCAGUUUGGUUUGGGCGCGUGCCAGUGUGUGUUGAAUCGAAACGAUUCGAAUGCAAAAUAAUAAUAAAACAGUGGGGCUCGUUGAAGGCGGAUACGGUGGGCGUCGGGGGUGGAGGAGCGGGUAGACGACAGAGAGGCGGGGUCGGCAGCGCAUUAACGCAAUUAACCUCCAAUUAAUAACACAUCAAUUGACACCCGGUCAACUUGUUGCAUCAGAGCAGGCCGAUAAUAUGCUGAACGCGUGUGAACCGUGUGUGUACGUACACAAUGUGCCGCGGCGUGUGCGGCACCGACGCGUGUGAGUACCUUCGGCGUACAUUUCGCUCGUGCGUGUGUGCGCGUGUGCGCGUUUGCGCUUAGCCAAGACCACGGGGUUGGACGUGUUCGUGUGAUCGCGGAUACGUGUUACCGGCGAGGGUGGCGAUCCCCCGCGCGUCCUAGGCGUAAUGACGAAACGAAUGUUACAAUAAUUUUAUAUAUCAAGGGGGAUCGGCACAAGAGCACAUCGGCACAGGGGUACAUACCUAAGCGGUGGCGUGCGUGUAGACACGACGGACAUGGACUGAUGACCACAGUCGAGUUCCCAUGCAACCCCCUGCGAGCACUCUCGCCACAUGACACCUACAGGGGGUGGAAUUCCGAUGCACAUGCCAUUACUGUGUUACCUCGACAACGCCAUGUGGGGUACGUGCGCCAUGUGAUGCUCAGGAACUCCCGAGCUAUAUCCUUCCGCUUCUUCACGGUACCUCGUGAGGGAAGGAAGCAGAAAUUGUGGCUCGCACGAGAACACGGCGGAACGUAUUUAUGUAAUGCUGGGAUACUUUGCCGCUCGAUAAAAUUCGCAGUCGUGCAAAUUGCGGGAAUGGCACAACCGACAACUCGUUUGCACGGAUCGCGAGUCUUCGUCACGUCACGUACUUAGGAAAGCGAUCGCUCGUUGUAAUAUUGGCUAUCACCUUGAAGUUCCAUCGAGGGCUCCCCAUGCGUUAACUAUCCUACGUAUUACUUGCGGACCCUAUCACUAUGCGCUGUAAUCAUGCCUUGAAAUCUACCCACCUGCUUAAAUGGUAAAUAUCGCAUGACGCACAGGAUGUGAUCAUUGAUUUACCAAUGUUGUUGCAGUCUGAUCUUAUUGAUUCUUGACACGCUGACUGACCUUGUAUUUAUAGAAAUAAUUUUUGAUUUUCCCUCGCGAACUUAACUGAGAUAUUUUUCACGCAACGUUUCAAUAUUUUAGUGCAAGAAAAAUAGAAAUGAUUUUAAUAUUUCGAGCUAAAAUUCGGAUGCUAUUGUCGGCCGGAACCUACAUUGGCCCCCUCGACGUUCGCCUUCGUGAAUGCGUUUCUCGCGUGUAAUUAGCUCGUCGUGCCUACUUCCGAAUCGGCGCAACAGUGGGAGAGUUCCUGAAGCCAUUUCCGGCUGGACACCGGCACCUUUUUGUUUCCCCCUUCGCGUCCCACGCAUGACGGCACACGGGGAAGUAGCGAUCAAAAAUGGAAAAGACAGAAGUUCGUCCGACCCCCCUCGAAGCGUCCCUCCUGCCCAGGUACAAUCGUUUCGUAGACCUUAUCGAGGUCGGCACCAUAUGUCACUUGUGGAGUAACGAGCAAACGCUGCAUCCCCCCGUACGGUAAUUGCCAACGGAACUGCCUAGUAAUUUCUCGGAACGAAUCGCUCCUCUUCGAGGAAGCGCCCGAGAACGCGUUAACUUGCCGUAAUUGAACGUUUACGUAAUGGUGAUUCAAGUGCGCAAUGAGGACGUUGACGAUACUCGAAAUACGCGGCCGCGCACGCGUGUAUUUGCUCGUCCUGCAGCAAUCUGUCACCCCGUUGCGCAAUUUGCAAUUUUAUCCUGUCAUCUGCGCGACAGUCAUCACUACUUUAUUCAGAACGUUCAUUCUUCUCGAUGCAGUACGUAUCUUCGCAUCGUCUUUUUUUUUCUUAGGAUGAAACAAGGCAUCCUCCAACGCAGGGGAUUUGCGCGUAAGCGAACUAUGGAAUAUUGUCGGCUUAUUGAGCGCAGGUGCUUUAAACUGCUCAGCUGUUGCUUCGAAUCUCGCGUGCGUGUGCCCGUGCACACUCGCACACACUCCCCCGCUUCUGUAUUAGUACAUAUUCAGGCUCUACGCCGUAAUGCAUACGUGCAACUCGCACAACCGUCUCGCUUACGCACUUAUAUACGCAACGUCAAUUGAACUGCAUGACGAUCGAAGCUCCUAACGGGCCGUGCCAUUGACGAAUGAAGAGCGAUUAUUUGCGCCUGUGUGUAGAAUGCAAGAGGAUUCUAUUAAAAUAUUUUCCACGCGCGAUAAAUAAUUGCAGCGACAAUGAGCGAGCAUUGUCGUCUUGUCCUUGUAAUAGAAAUCAAAUCGGCGUUGCAAGCGAUAAAUUUAGAAUAUUGAAAGGCAAAGAUCAGCUGUAUGAAUAUAGAGUCGCGGACGAGGUGGAUUCUAUUUUCCUCGUCCAAGCAAGCCAGAUGGGCCUGGUCUAUGAUCGAACGCGCAAUGAGUGGGCUAUCAAUUACUUUUUGUGCCCCUUUCUUUCGCCGAGUAUCGACCGACGACGGUAUGCAUCCCUCGACGAAGAGACCGCUCUAGGCGGAACUGCUUAUGUAUCGAAUAAGAUAUUCAACGCAAGUAAUUUUCUUAUGGUCGUUCCUCAGGCAAACCACCCCCUUCUUCGCUAACCCCCUCGUAACUCACUAUACUUUGAGUUUUUACUUUGAGCGGCCGCGGCGCGUUCGGACGAGGGUGAAAUACAUCGCUCGCAACUGUCAUCCGCGGUUUGUUCUUCUUCGUCGACGCUGCCGUCGUCGUCGCCGUCGUCACCGCCGUGGUCGAUCAUUGUAUUUUUAACUGGUAACAUUCUCUUUCUUGUGCUCUACUCGUGACAUGACGUCAUCUUGAGCUAACGUACCUUCUCCAAGUAGAUUGAUGUAUGCUGAGAAGAGAAAAUACAUACAUAUUAUACAUAUAUACACGUCCAACAAAUUGAAUCUUGAAAAAUCUCUGUCACUGUGUAUAUGUAUGUACACGUAUAUAUGAGUGUAUGUGUGUGUUAUGUAUAUGAGAGAUAACGCGAUAAAACAAUAAAAAAGAAAGAAAAAGUAGAAAGCAAAAUUUAUACUUUCUAGAAAUGAUACGAAAA